AAAGUGGGCAGAUUGACAUUUCUGGCAGAACCCUAGGAGCAGAAAAAAAAUCUGAAAAACAAAUAAGCACCUGUGAUGCCCUGUGACUACAGAGUUCCAGUAGAACUAUAAUCUGUGGAAGUUCAGGAAGACUUAAAGCAGGUACAAAGUUAUUUAAAAUUGAAUCACAUGGUCUUCACAAUGUAUAAGAAAACAAAAUUAAUAUAGUUAUAACAGUCUGAAUAUUUUCUUCUUAGAGAGCAGCCAGAGUCACUCCUAUCUCCAUUGCUUACAUGAAUGAGAGAUGUGAGUAUUGCCCAGUGGAACAGAUGAGAAGUAAUCACAGAUAUUAUUGCAAAAAUCAGAAAGUCAAAGAACAACAGAACUCAUUUGACUGUAUGGGGCCUAAGAACUUACCAGUGAGAGAGAAAUGCACAGCACAGUAUCAUAUUUAAAUACAAUGAGCUAGCAAAA
Molecule: long non-coding RNA, 453 nt
Organism: Pan troglodytes (chimpanzee)
Lineage: Eukaryota; Metazoa; Chordata; Mammalia; Primates; Hominidae
Exons: 4
Source: RefSeq, a predicted model, not a curated record